This is a non-coding RNA of Microcebus murinus (gray mouse lemur), 474 nucleotides long. Lineage: Eukaryota; Metazoa; Chordata; Mammalia; Primates; Cheirogaleidae. The record is from RefSeq and is a predicted model, not a curated record.
ACAUAUUGGCUCUCCUUGAAUUUAUAGCCUCCCAGAAACCUGGUGUCAUUUAGUUUGCAGAACACACUCUUUAAGCCUUAUUGACAUGAGUUACUGAAGCUUAAGGAUGCUAAGAUUGGCUGGCACCAGGCAGAGUCUGAGUCUUCAAGAAGAUGGAAGACUGGGGAAGUGAUAGGAGUGAAAACUCAUACAUGGAGUCAGAGAGAUGGGAUUCAUCUGAAAGAAUGAAUCAAGAAAUUUUCCAUCCUGGAAGUAACACAUCAUUUCUUUACCUGACUAUCAGCAUCACUGCCACCACUUAGAUUCUGGUGUUCAUUCCAUCGCUUUAAAACUAUUGGGGACAGAAUUUAUCUGGAAUUUAGCAUAGAGUUCUCCACUCGCCACCUCCAGCAUCCCACACGGAUUGGACCAGCAGCAAAGAGAGUAAAGGAACAGGGCUUGUAUAACGUCUAAUAAAAGAGAAAUGUAAACAAA